This is a long non-coding RNA of Equus quagga, 264 nucleotides long. RefSeq lists it as uncharacterized. The record is from RefSeq and is a predicted model, not a curated record. Lineage: Eukaryota; Metazoa; Chordata; Mammalia; Perissodactyla; Equidae. The transcript is spliced from 3 exons.
GUCCCUACAUGGACAUGUGCCUCUGAAAUAAACGUUUCCAGAAGGAAGUCACAAGAUGGCGUGUGCACACAGUCUGCCAUGAUGGGUUGCUGACUGCACCUCAUGCUGCUGCAAACCGUGACGCGAAUCUCCCGGGCGUUUCUGGGCACUCUCUCCCUGAUUCAGUUUAUGGGAUUCGAAGCUCAUUGAGUGGUGAGCGCCGCCCUGCUCUCCUGCUGAAAACAUGCCUGUGAUGGAAGAGUUCCCACUUUUCUGAGAUGACCA